GUUUUCUUAUUUUCUAAAAAGAUAGUUGAUUACUUGUUGAUAUUAAUCUAACGUUACUACAGACUGGAUCACCCAACGUUCACUUUUGUCUUCCACAGACUCUUGAAACUGUAAAGAGGUUAUGUCCAAAGCAAACCCUAUUGAUCGGAAUGAAUCACAAAUUUGAUCACCACAAGGACAAUGAGUUUUUAAUGGAAUGGUCCAGAAGGGAAUGAAGGACUAUCAGUGCAGCUUGCUCACGAUGGUUUAAGAGUUCCCAUGAACUUAUAGUAAGGUAAUAGUUGUGGACAUGGAUCACCCUUUUUCACAUCAAGAGUAGCACACGUGGUACCAGAACUAUCAAGUCUUCACUAUGAUUAGUAGCAUGCAUGCAUGUGUCCCAGGUCUCACCCUUCUUGGAGGGCGCGC
Molecule: long non-coding RNA, 408 nt
Organism: Glycine soja
Lineage: Eukaryota; Viridiplantae; Streptophyta; Magnoliopsida; Fabales; Fabaceae
Exons: 3
Source: RefSeq, a predicted model, not a curated record